AAGAGGCUGUGCUUUUAGAAGUUCAACUUCUUCAUAAAUAUUCAGGACACAAAAAUAUUGUGUCUUUACAUUGCGCUAUGAUCCAUCGAGAAGAACAACUCUUAUGGUGCGUAAUGGAUUAUUGUGGAGGGGGCUCUUUAUUAGAUCUUAUCAAGAGUACAGAACAUCGUUCCCUCCCAGAAGACUGGAUAAAAUAUAUCUCCAGGGAGAUAUUAAAGGGCCUGAAAUACCUGCAUGAAAACCUUUUGAUCCAUCAGGACAUCAAGGCAGGGAAUAUCAUGCUGACAGAAAAGGCCGAAAU
Molecule: long non-coding RNA, 301 nt
Organism: Xenopus tropicalis (tropical clawed frog)
Lineage: Eukaryota; Metazoa; Chordata; Amphibia; Anura; Pipidae
Exons: 3
Source: RefSeq, a predicted model, not a curated record